Molecule: ribosomal RNA, 257 nt
Filed under: uncultured bacterium
Lineage: Bacteria
Description: partial 16S ribosomal RNA
Rfam family: Bacterial small subunit ribosomal RNA
Source: RNAcentral
UACGUAGGCAGCAAGCGUUGUUCGGAAUUACUGGGCGUAAAGAGUGUGUAGGCGGUGCUCUAAGUUCGGUGUGAAAUCUCCCGGCUCAACUGGGAGGGUGCGCCGAAAACUGGAGUGCUGGAGCGCGGGAGAGGAAAGCGGAAUUACCUUCGGGUGUAGCGGUGAAAUGCGUAGAUAUCAGGAGGAACACCGGCGGUGUAGACGGCUUUCUGGACCGUAGCUGACGCUGAGACACGAAAGCGUGGGUAGCAAACAGG